RNAcentral lists this ribosomal RNA (433 nucleotides) under uncultured bacterium. RNAcentral describes it as "partial 16S ribosomal RNA". It matches the Rfam family "Bacterial small subunit ribosomal RNA", at positions 29 to 507 of the family's 1533-position model. The record is from RNAcentral.
AACGAACGCUGGCGGCAUGCCUAACACAUGCAAGUCGAACGAGACCGCCCGGCCUAGGUGCGCACGGCGGCGUAACGCGGGGGAACCAGCCCUUAGGUGCGCAAUAACUGCCCGAAGGGGGCGCUAAGACCGCAUAAUGUCUUCGGACCAAAGAUGUAUCGCCUUUGGAUGGGCCCGGGUUGGAUUAGCCAGUUGGUAGGGUACAAGCCGACCAAGGCGAGGAUCCUUAGCUGGUCUGAGAGGAUGAUCAGCCACAAUGGGAGUGCGGCCCGGCCCAGCCUCCUACGGGAGGCGGCAGUGGGGAAUAUUGGACACUGGGCGAAGGCCUGAUCCAGCAGUGCCGCGUGAGUGAUCAAGGCCUUAGGGUUGUAAUGCUCUUUUAGCCGAGGUGAUAGUGACAGUACCGGGAAAAUAAGCUCCGGCUAACUCCGUG